UGCUCUAUGUAAUCAUUUAGGGUUAAACCUGCUCAAUGAUUAUUUAAAUAGCCGCAGUACAUUGACUGUGCAAAGGUAGCAUAAUCAAUUGGCUUAUAAUUGAAGUCUCGUAUGAAUGGGAUCCCGGGGAAUAACUGUCUUAAUUAAGUACAUAGAAAUUACUUAGUGAGUGAAAAAUCUCACGUAUAGUAGAAAGACGAGAAGACCCUAGAAAUUUUUUAAAAUAUAUAUUUUAUAUUCUAUUUUGUUGGGGCGACAUAGUAACAGUUAACUUACUAUUUAACAUGCUAUUUAUUAGUAGAAAGAAUAAAUUACUCUAGGGAUAACAGCAUAAUUCAUUUGAGUUUGUGACCUCGAUGUUGGACUAGGAAAUAAUUUAUUUAGAAGAUAAAUUUAAAAGGCUCUGUUCGAGCCAUAUUUUCCUAC
This 426-nucleotide ribosomal RNA is filed under the name Trochulus montanus. RNAcentral describes it as "partial large subunit ribosomal RNA". It matches the Rfam family "Bacterial large subunit ribosomal RNA", at positions 1860 to 2599 of the family's 2925-position model. The record is from RNAcentral. Lineage: Eukaryota; Metazoa; Mollusca; Gastropoda; Stylommatophora; Hygromiidae.